UGGUAUGCCUUUCAAGUUAGAUGUGGAAU
Molecule: non-coding RNA, 29 nt
Filed under: Rattus norvegicus (Norway rat)
Lineage: Eukaryota; Metazoa; Chordata; Mammalia; Rodentia; Muridae
Source: RNAcentral